AUUGAACGCUGGCGGCAGGCCUAACACAUGCAAGUCGAACGGUAACAGGAAGCAGCUUGCUGCUUUGCUGACGAGUGGCGGACGGGUGAGUAAUGUCUGGGAAACUGCCUGAUGGAGGGGGAUAACUACUGGAAACGGUAGCUACUACCGCAUAACGUCGCAAGACCAAAGAGGGGGACCUUAGGGCCUCUUGCCAUCGGAUGUGCCCAGAUGGGAUUAGCUAGUAGGUGGGGUAACGGCUCACCUAGGCGACGAUCCCUAGCUGGUCUGAGAGGAUGACCAGCCACACUGGAACUGAGACACGGUCCAGACUCCUACGGGAGGCAGCAGUGGGGAAUAUUGCACAAUGGGCGCAAGCCUGAUGCAGCCAUGCCGCGUGUAUGAAGAAGGCCUUCGGGUUGUAAAGUACUUUCAGCGGGGAGGAAGGGAGUAAAGUUAAUACCUUUGCUCAUUGACGUUACCCGCAGAAGAAGCACCGGCUAACUCCGUG
RNAcentral lists this ribosomal RNA (490 nucleotides) under uncultured bacterium. RNAcentral describes it as "partial 16S ribosomal RNA". It matches the Rfam family "Bacterial small subunit ribosomal RNA", at positions 30 to 507 of the family's 1533-position model. The record is from RNAcentral.